GGGGAAUAUUGCACAAUGGAGGGAACUCUGAUGCAGCGACGCCGCGUGAGUGAAGAAGAUCUUCGGAUCGUAAAACUCUGUCCUUGGUGACGAAAAAAAUGACGGUAGCCAAGGAGGAAGCCCCGGCUAACUACGUGCCAGCAGCCGCGGUAAUACGUAGGGGGCGAGCGUUGUCCGGAUUUACUGGGCGUAAAGGGUGAGUAGGCGGUUAUAUAUGUCAGGUGUAAAAAGCUAUGGCUUAACCAUAGUAAGCACUUGAAACUGUAUGACUUGAGUGCAGGAGAGGUAAGCGGAAUUCCUAGUGUAGCGGUGAAAUGCGUAGAUAUUAGGAGGAACACCGGUGGCGAAGGCGGCUUACUGGACUGUAACUGACGCUGAGUCACGAAAGCGUGGGUAGCAAAC
RNAcentral lists this ribosomal RNA (402 nucleotides) under uncultured bacterium. RNAcentral's name for it is "bacterial SSU rRNA". It matches the Rfam family "Bacterial small subunit ribosomal RNA", at positions 356 to 773 of the family's 1533-position model. The record is from RNAcentral.